GGGGCCAUAGCUCAGCUGGGAGAGCGCAACACUGGCAGUGUUGAGGUCAGGGGUUCGAGCCCCCUUGGCUCCACCA
Molecule: transfer RNA, 76 nt
Filed under: Gammaproteobacteria bacterium TMED112
Lineage: Bacteria; Pseudomonadati; Pseudomonadota; Gammaproteobacteria
Also listed under: 2 other names
Description: tRNA-Ala
Rfam family: tRNA
About the family: Transfer RNA (tRNA) molecules are approximately 80 nucleotides in length.
Source: RNAcentral